This 253-nucleotide ribosomal RNA is filed under the name uncultured bacterium. Its description in RNAcentral is "partial 16S ribosomal RNA". It matches the Rfam family "Bacterial small subunit ribosomal RNA", at positions 524 to 776 of the family's 1533-position model. The record is from RNAcentral.
UACGUAGGGUGCGAGCGUUGUCCGGAAUUAUUGGGCGUAAAGAGCUUGUAGGCGGUCUGUCGCGUCUGCUGUGAAAAUCCGGGGCUCAACCCCGGACUUGCAGUGGGUACGGGCAGACUAGAGUGUGGUAGGGGAGAGUGGAAUUCCUGGUGUAGCGGUGAAAUGCGCAGAUAUCAGGAAGAACACCGAUGGCGAAGGCAGCUCUCUGGGACGGUACUGACGCUGAGACGCGAAAGCGUGGGGAGCGAACAGG